UAGUCUUUUUUGGUGUUUGGAAAAUGAAUCGUUUCAAGAACCUUCCGAAUGUAACAUCAGAAAUCAGCAGGCACGGUCCGUUACCUAGCAACCCCAGCCGAACUCUGUCUGUCACCUAGCAACCCAAGCGGAG
Xiphophorus hellerii (green swordtail) is the source of this 133-nucleotide long non-coding RNA. RefSeq lists it as uncharacterized. Lineage: Eukaryota; Metazoa; Chordata; Actinopteri; Cyprinodontiformes; Poeciliidae. The record is from RefSeq and is a predicted model, not a curated record. The transcript has 3 exons.